This 498-nucleotide ribosomal RNA is filed under the name Brachybacterium faecium. RNAcentral describes it as "bacterial SSU rRNA". It matches the Rfam family "Bacterial small subunit ribosomal RNA", at positions 409 to 916 of the family's 1533-position model. Lineage: Bacteria; Bacillati; Actinomycetota; Actinomycetes; Micrococcales; Dermabacteraceae. The record is from RNAcentral.
UGACGGCCUUCGGGUUGUAAACCCCUUUCAGUAGGGAAGAAGCGAGAGUGACGGUACCUGCAGAAGAAGCGCCGGCUAACUACGUGCCAGCAGCCGCGGUAAUACGUAGGGCGCAAGCGUUGUCCGGAAUUAUUGGGCGUAAAGAGCUUGUAGGUGGCUUGUCGCGUCUGCCGUGAAAACCCGAGGCUCAACCUCGGGCGUGCGGUGGGUACGGGCAGGCUAGAGUGUGGUAGGGGAGACUGGAACUCCUGGUGUAGCGGUGAAAUGCGCAGAUAUCAGGAAGAACACCGAUGGCGAAGGCAGGUCUCUGGGCCAUUACUGACACUGAGAAGCGAAAGCAUGGGUAGCGAACAGGAUUAGAUACCCUGGUAGUCCAUGCCGUAAACGUUGGGCACUAGGUGUGGGGGACAUUCCACGUUUUCCGCGCCGUAGCUAACGCAUUAAGUGCCCCGCCUGGGGAGUACGGCCGCAAGGCUAAAACUCAAAUGAAUUUGACGG